RNAcentral lists this long non-coding RNA (814 nucleotides) under Marmota monax (woodchuck). Lineage: Eukaryota; Metazoa; Chordata; Mammalia; Rodentia; Sciuridae. The record is from RNAcentral.
UGGAGGCUCAGGGUGGCCCUCCAUUGAUUCCGCCUGCUGCCCGCCAGGAGCAGAUGAGUAAGGGAACAUCCAAACCCUCUCCACUGAGUGCUCUCACUUCUUUCCUAGGGGUUGGAAAACAGUAUGCUGGGGCCUUUGCAUCUCUGGGGUUGAACACAUAUGAAGCCCAGAAAUUAGCUAUAACCUCAUUCCCAGGAGAGAGCAAGGAGGGCAGAGGCCAGCAGGUCUUUCCAGCAAGAACUAGAGGUUGGCAUCCCAGGGAGAAAUAGUCUCUACGCUGGUCUUCAAGGAUCAUGCUCCAUAAUGUCUGGUUACCUUCUGCCUCACACUUCAGGGAAGCCUGGGGUCACGUGGUCCCCUGCUCACCUUUUCUGGUGAAUUGUGACCAAGAAUCACUGGAUACUUCCAAAGUUGACCUCAAGAAAGAAAAAUGAAUGCCUCUAGGUAAAAACAUCACCUCAAGAACAAAAGGGAUGUUUUUUAAAAAACGUUAUAAAUUCAGAGAGAUUGAGCAUCAAUGGAUGAGUGGCAAAUUGUCACAAACCAUGGGACAUCAUGCACUGGAGUACUACUCAGCAUUGGAAUUUAUGUUUAUAAAUUAUCUGAUGAGGGUUUUGCAUCCACAACAUGCGAAGUACUCGCAAAAAUUCAAUGAUAGAAAAAUAUGAGAACAAUUCUUUAAAAUGACAGAAAAUCUGAACAGAUACUUCACCAAAGAAAGGUACAAAUGGCAAAUAAGUCUGUGCCAAGAUGCUUUAAGUCGUUAGGGAAAUGCCAAUCAAAUGAGAUUUGAUCAACCUUUCUAAAAGUUAGA